RNAcentral lists this ribosomal RNA (125 nucleotides) under Olea europaea subsp. europaea. RNAcentral describes it as "LSU_rRNA_bacteria". Lineage: Eukaryota; Viridiplantae; Streptophyta; Magnoliopsida; Lamiales; Oleaceae. The record is from RNAcentral.
GCGAAAGUCGGCCAUAGUGAUCCGGGAGUCCCAUGUGGACAGGACUAAUCAGACCGACUGGUCGAACAGAGACAAAAGUCGGCUAUAGUGAUCCGGGAGUCCCAUAUGGAAGGGCUCUCGCUCAA